Molecule: ribosomal RNA, 2774 nt
Filed under: Klebsiella sp. C1-16S-Nf17
Lineage: Bacteria; Pseudomonadati; Pseudomonadota; Gammaproteobacteria; Enterobacterales; Enterobacteriaceae
Description: bacterial LSU rRNA
Rfam family: Bacterial large subunit ribosomal RNA
Source: RNAcentral
CACUAUCGUUAACUGAAUACAUAGGUUAACGAGGCGAACCGGGGGAACUGAAACAUCUAAGUACCCCGAGGAAAAGAAAUCAACCGAGAUUCCCCCAGUAGCGGCGAGCGAACGGGGAGCAGCCCAGAGUCUGAAUCAGCUUGUGUGUUAGUGGAACGGUCUGGAAAGUCCGACGGUACAGGGUGAUAGUCCCGUACACCAAAAUGCACAGGUUGUGAACUCGAAGAGUAGGGCGGGACACGUGGUAUCCUGUCUGAAUAUGGGGGGACCAUCCUCCAAGGCUAAAUACUCCUGACUGACCGAUAGUGAACCAGUACCGUGAGGGAAAGGCGAAAAGAACCCCGGCGAGGGGAGUGAAAAAGAACCUGAAACCGUGUACGUACAAGCAGUGGGAGCACCCUUUUGGGUGUGACUGCGUACCUUUUGUAUAAUGGGUCAGCGACUUAUAUUCUGUAGCAAGGUUAACCGUAUAGGGGAGCCGCAGGGAAACCGAGUCUUAACUGGGCGUUAAGUUGCAGGGUAUAGACCCGAAACCCGGUGAUCUAGCCAUGGGCAGGUUGAAGGUUGGGUAACACUAACUGGAGGACCGAACCGACUAAUGUUGAAAAAUUAGCGGAUGACUUGUGGCUGGGGGUGAAAGGCCAAUCAAACCGGGAGAUAGCUGGUUCUCCCCGAAAGCUAUUUAGGUAGCGCCUCGUGAAUUCAUCUUCGGGGGUAGAGCACUGUUUCGGCUAGGGGGUCAUCCCGACUUACCAACCCGAUGCAAACUACGAAUACCGAAGAAUGUUAUCACGGGAGACACACGGCGGGUGCUAACGUCCGUCGUGAAGAGGGAAACAACCCAGACCGCCAGCUAAGGUCCCAAAGUCAUGGUUAAGUGGGAAACGAUGUGGGAAGGCACAGACAGCCAGGAUGUUGGCUUAGAAGCAGCCAUCAUUUAAAGAAAGCGUAAUAGCUCACUGGUCGAGUCGGCCUGCGCGGAAGAUGUAACGGGGCUAAACCAUGCACCGAAGCUGCGGCAGCGACACUAUGUGUUGUUGGGUAGGGGAGCGUUCUGUAAGCCUGCGAAGGUGACCUGUGAGGGUUGCUGGAGGUAUCAGAAGUGCGAAUGCUGACAUAAGUAACGAUAAAGCGGGUGAAAAGCCCGCUCGCCGGAAGACCAAGGGUUCCUGUCCAACGUUAAUCGGGGCAGGGUGAGUCGACCCCUAAGGCGAGGCCGAAAGGCGUAGUCGAUGGGAAACAGGUUAAUAUUCCUGUACUUGGUGUUACUGCGAAGGGGGGACGGAGAAGGCUAUGUUAGCCGGGCGACGGUUGUCCCGGUUUAAGCAUGUAGGCGGAGGUUCCAGGUAAAUCCGGUACCUUUUAACGCUGAGGUGUGAUGACGAGGCACUACGGUGCUGAAGUAACAAAUGCCCUGCUUCCAGGAAAAGCCUCUAAGCAUCAGGUAACAUUAAAUCGUACCCCAAACCGACACAGGUGGUCAGGUAGAGAAUACCAAGGCGCUUGAGAGAACUCGGGUGAAGGAACUAGGCAAAAUGGUGCCGUAACUUCGGGAGAAGGCACGCUGAUAGGUAGGUGAAGCCCCUGCGGGUGGAGCUGAAAUCAGUCGAAGAUACCAGCUGGCUGCAACUGUUUAUUAAAAACACAGCACUGUGCAAACACGAAAGUGGACGUAUACGGUGUGACGCCUGCCCGGUGCCGGAAGGUUAAUUGAUGGGGUUAUCCGUAAGGAGAAGCUCUUGAUCGAAGCCCCGGUAAACGGCGGCCGUAACUAUAACGGUCCUAAGGUAGCGAAAUUCCUUGUCGGGUAAGUUCCGACCUGCACGAAUGGCGUAAUGAUGGCCAGGCUGUCUCCACCCGAGACUCAGUGAAAUUGAACUCGCUGUGAAGAUGCAGUGUACCCGCGGCAAGACGGAAAGACCCCGUGAACCUUUACUAUAGCUUGACACUGAACAUUGAGCCUUGAUGUGUAGGAUAGGUGGGAGGCUUUGAAGCGUGGACGCCAGUCUGCGUGGAGCCAACCUUGAAAUACCACCCUUUAAUGUUUGAUGUUCUAACGUAGACCCCUAAUCGGGGUUGCGGACAGUGUCUGGUGGGUAGUUUGACUGGGGCGGUCUCCUCCCAAAGAGUAACGGAGGAGCACGAAGGUUAGCUAAUCCUGGUCGGACAUCAGGAGGUUAGUGCAAUGGCAUAAGCUAGCUUGACUGCGAGCGUGACGGCGCGAGCAGGUGCGAAAGCAGGUCAUAGUGAUCCGGUGGUUCUGAAUGGAAGGGCCAUCGCUCAACGGAUAAAAGGUACUCCGGGGAUAACAGGCUGAUACCGCCCAAGAGUUCAUAUCGACGGCGGUGUUUGGCACCUCGAUGUCGGCUCAUCACAUCCUGGGGCUGAAGUAGGUCCCAAGGGUAUGGCUGUUCGCCAUUUAAAGUGGUACGCGAGCUGGGUUUAGAACGUCGUGAGACAGUUCGGUCCCUAUCUGCCGUGGGCGCUGGAGAAUUGAGGGGGGCUGCUCCUAGUACGAGAGGACCGGAGUGGACGCAUCACUGGUGUUCGGGUUGUCAUGCCAAUGGCAUUGCCCGGUAGCUAAAUGCGGAAGAGAUAAGUGCUGAAAGCAUCUAAGCACGAAACUUGCCCCGAGAUGAGUUCUCCCUGAGACUUUAAGUCUCCUGAAGGAACGUUGAAGACGACGACGUUGAUAGGCCGGGUGUGUAAGCGCAGCGAUGCGUUGAGCUAACCGGUACUAAUGAACCGUGAGGCUUAACCUUACAACGCCGAAG